RNAcentral lists this transfer RNA (71 nucleotides) under Aphanius asquamatus. Its description in RNAcentral is "tRNA-Trp". It matches the Rfam family "tRNA". Rfam says of the family: Transfer RNA (tRNA) molecules are approximately 80 nucleotides in length. Lineage: Eukaryota; Metazoa; Chordata; Actinopteri; Cyprinodontiformes; Aphaniidae. The record is from RNAcentral.
AGGGACUUAGGAUAAAAUUAGACCGAGGGCCUUCAAAGCCCUAAGCGGAAGUGAAAGCCCUCCAGCCCCUG